GAUGAAGAACGCAGCGAAAUGCGAUAAGUAGUGUGAAUUGCAGAAUACAGUGAAUCAUCGAAUCUUUGAACGCACAUUGCGCCCUUUGGUAUUCCAAAGGGCAUGCCUGUUCGAGCGUCAUUUGUACCCUCAAGCUUUGCUUGGUGUUGGGCGUCUUGUCUCUAGCUUUGCUGGAGACUCGCCUUAAAGUAAUUGGCAGCCGGCCUACUGGUUUCGGAGCGCAGCACAAGUCGCACUCUCUAUCAGCAAAGGUCUAGCAUCCAUUAAGCCUUUUUUUCAACUUUUGACCUCGGAUCAGGUAGGGAUACCCGCUGAACUUAAGCAUAUCAAUAAGCGGAGGA
Molecule: unclassified non-coding RNA, 341 nt
Filed under: soil metagenome
Description: partial contains 5.8S ribosomal RNA, internal transcribed spacer 2, and large subunit ribosomal RNA
Rfam family: 5.8S ribosomal RNA (bases 1-120)
Source: RNAcentral